GACGAACGCUGGCGGCGUGCUUAACACAUGCAAGUCGAACGGAAAGGCCCUGCUUUUGUUGGGUGCUCGGGUGGCGAACGGGUGAGUAACACGUGAGUAACCUGCCCUUGACUUUGGGAUAACUUCAGGAAACUGUGGCUAAUACCGGAUAGGAGCUCCUGCUGCAUGGUGGGGGUUGGAAAGUUUCGGCGGUUGGGGAUGGACUCGCGGCUUAUCAGCUUGUUGGUGGAGUAGUGGCUUACCAAGGCUUCGACGGGUAGCCGGCCUGAGAGGGUGGCCGGCCACAUUGGGCCUGAGAUAGGGCCCAGAGUCCUACGGGAGGCAGCAGUGGAGAAUAUUGCACAGUGGGCGGAAGCCUGAGGCAGCAACGCCGCGUGCGGGAUGACGGCCUUCGGGUUGUAAACCGCUUUGGCCUGUGACGAAGCGUGAGUGACGGUAAUGGGUAAAGAAGCACCGGCUAACUACGUG
RNAcentral lists this ribosomal RNA (468 nucleotides) under uncultured bacterium. RNAcentral's name for it is "partial 16S ribosomal RNA". It matches the Rfam family "Bacterial small subunit ribosomal RNA", at positions 28 to 507 of the family's 1533-position model. The record is from RNAcentral.